RNAcentral lists this non-coding RNA (45 nucleotides) under Schistosoma mattheei. Lineage: Eukaryota; Metazoa; Platyhelminthes; Trematoda; Strigeidida; Schistosomatidae. The record is from RNAcentral.
AUCUAGCUGACGAGUCCCAACUAGGACGAAACGCACAUCCUAGAU